AGCUCCAAUAGCGUAUAUUAAAGUUGUUGCAGUUAAAAAGCUCGUAGUUGGAUUUGGGACCGGGGCGGGGAGGUCGGCCGCGAGGUCUGUUACUUCCGCGCCUCGUCUUAAUUCUCGAAGACCCGUCGUGUACUUCGCUGUGCGCGGCGUCGGGACUCGAGACGUUUACUUUGAAAAAAUUAGAGUGUUCAAAGCAGGCUUCACUGAGCCAGAAUACAUGAGCAUGGAAUAAUGGAAUAGGACCGCGGUCUUAUUUUGUUGGUUUCUAAAACCGCAGUAAUGAUUAAGAGGGACAAUUGGGGGCGUCCGUAUUUCGUUGUCAGAGGUGAAAUUCUUGGAUUUACGAAAGACGAACAACUGCGAAAGCAUUCGCCAAGAGUGUUUUCAUUAAUCAAGAACG
RNAcentral lists this ribosomal RNA (400 nucleotides) under phytoplankton environmental sample. RNAcentral's name for it is "partial small subunit ribosomal RNA". It matches the Rfam family "Eukaryotic small subunit ribosomal RNA", at positions 587 to 985 of the family's 1831-position model. The record is from RNAcentral.